UAAAACUCAAAUGAAUUGACGGGGGCCCGCACAAGCGGUGGAGCAUGUGGUUUAAUUCGAUGCAACGCGAAGAACCUUACCUGGUCUUGACAUCCACAGAACUUUCCAGAGAUGGAUUGGUGCCUUCGGGAACUGUGAGACAGGUGCUGCAUGGCUGUCGUCAGCUCGUGUUGUGAAAUGUUGGGUUAAGUCCCGCAACGAGCGCAACCCUUAUCCUUUGUUGCCAGCGGUCCGGCCGGGAACUCAAAGGAGACUGCCAGUGAUAAACUGGAGGAAGGUGGGGAUGACGUCAAGUCAUCAUGGCCCUUACGACCAGGGCUACACACGUGCUACAAUGGCGCAUACAAAGAGAAGCGACCUCGCGAGAGCAAGCGGACCUCAUAAAGUGCGUCGUAGUCC
This 399-nucleotide ribosomal RNA is filed under the name Escherichia coli. RNAcentral's name for it is "bacterial SSU rRNA". It matches the Rfam family "Bacterial small subunit ribosomal RNA", at positions 895 to 1294 of the family's 1533-position model. Lineage: Bacteria; Pseudomonadati; Pseudomonadota; Gammaproteobacteria; Enterobacterales; Enterobacteriaceae. The record is from RNAcentral.